Anguilla rostrata (American eel) is the source of this 3678-nucleotide long non-coding RNA. RefSeq lists it as uncharacterized. Lineage: Eukaryota; Metazoa; Chordata; Actinopteri; Anguilliformes; Anguillidae. The transcript is spliced from 3 exons. The record is from RefSeq and is a predicted model, not a curated record.
UUAUGUUAGUAUUUUUCACUCUCCUUUUGUAUUUUCUUUUCAUUCUUUCUGCUUUCCCCUUUCUUAUUCCAGAAAGGGGAAAGCAGAGAGAGUAAGGGAUAGAGAAGGGACCGCUGAUCGGAAGGGAAAUCGAACCCUCAGCUGCAAAGGGGAGCUCAUCAACGGGUUGAUAAACGGGUCAGCCGCCAACCAACUAUGUUACACAUCUCGCCGAACAUCUCUAUUUGAAUCUGCAUGCAGGGUAGAGUCAUAUAUUAUAUGGUGUUCACCUGACAUUAACACCAUCAAGGCCUUUGUGUAAUUGUGUGAGAAAAAAGUUUAUUAAAAAGCUAUUCAAGAGCAUACCAACUGUCAGGCACAAGGACAUCAGAAUGGAGUUAUGUAUUCCUGAGCAUAUUAAUGGCAAGGAGGUCUCAUGGGACAUAAUAUAUUUUGAGCAGUUUACACCUACGCCAAACCAGUCCUCUAAUUUUGUGAGUCCCAAGAGCAUAAGUCCUUCACCGUUCCUGGCUGUGCAAUAUGCAAAUUGUUGGUUUAAUGUGUGUUUGCUUCAGCUGCAACCACACACUUGUACAUGGAAAUGAACUAGAAAAAGAAAUUCCAUUGUUCUCAUUGAAUUGGAGCUCAGGGGUAUGACAUUCAUUACAUUUGCAACAUUACCAGCUUUACUUUCAAAAACCUAAACAAAAAUGACUAUUUGGCAUUUGCUUAUUAAAUCAGGAACACGCAUACAGUAUUUUUCAUCAUCAGCCACCAGAUCCUCACAUAUGCCAUAAUAAAACUUAGGAAAUCAUUUACAUAUUUAAAUUGUUUCAGUUUUGAGUAAUUAAAUCAAUUUGUUCAACUCUAACAGUGUUAAUUCUCUGAAAUGUGGGACCAAAUGCCAUCUGUUAAGAGUUGAAUUAACACUCUUAGCACUGAAUUAACACUGGGCAUUUUACUGUGUACCUUAAAAGAAUUGCUGCAUUAAGGUAUUUUCAUACAAUAUAUUUUUCAUUGACUACUUGUUGUACUGCACUUCAGAGGUAAAUAUGCUUAGCUUUUUGAUUAUGAAUACUGUAGUGGUGUUCACAGUCAUUUAUUACAUUUGUUAGCUUUUUGGCACUGCGGGAAUAACUAAUUUACAUAUUUUAAAUGGCUUUUCAUUAAAAUAAAUAGUAUUUUGCUGCUACAUAGGUUUGUGACUGCAAGAGUGUUUGUGGGAGUCUCAAGGCCUCAAAGAACACAAGGUUUGUGAAUAUUUCUUGUUAUAUAGAGAUGCUUCUCAGCAUUUUCACACAUUCCCAUUCAAAAGUCCCAUGAUGUGAUGUCAUGGAAAUUGCUUUUCAACGGUAACUUUACAGUCUAGUCUGAACUGUCUGCUAUCUUCUAAGCUCAGGGCAUGCUUUACUUUUGUGUAUUGACAAUGUCCAGUUUGUUUUCAAGCCUAAACCCAUAUGCUUCAAUAUUUGUUUUCCACCCAAUGAAACGAAAGAGCAGGACUGUUAUUUAUUCUCUCCCUGAAGCGAUGCCCUUUUAGAUGUGGAGGUAGGAAUCUGAUUCAGAGUAACCUGAAACCAUCUUACUUAUGGCAAUUCAAUACUGUGAAGAGUGUGUGAACGUAACUUUAUUUUUAGGUCCUCUGUUAUUUAUCUGAGUAAUUCACAGCAUUCCUGUUAAUUAUGUAAAUAUGUAAAUUGAUUUUUACUGUUAAUUAAAUACUGUAAUGUGGGAAGUGCACACACCCUAUUCCUUAAUGUCAUUAAUGACAGCAUAACUGUCCAUACAUGCACCACACACGCACACAUACACGCACACACACACACGCAUACACACACACACACACACACACACAACUAGUAACUAUUGCUCAUAUGCACAAGGGGUUGUCUUCUUUAACAUUAUAAGGACCUGUUCAGUAACUAAGUAUUUAUUCUUGGUCUGUAAUCUUGUGCACUAUAGUUAUAUCAUCAAUAGAGCUGUAAUUAUAGCAAUCAGCAGCUACAUCAUGUACCCUGCUCCUGCUGAAUGGCUGAGGCUAAGCAGCUGUGAGCCCACCUAAGACACAUUGCUGUUGGAGGUAGAGUUGUUGGUCCAGUUGCAGGUGUUCUUCCUUCUAGACUAAGAAACUUCAAUCCACCCACUGCAGUGACGGGAAAACUGUGUUGUAGGAGGUGCCCUCUUUCAGAUGAGACAUUAAACUGAGGCCCUGACUAGUCUUUGAAGAUGUGUGGUGAAUGUUUUGGUCCAAAAUGGCUGCUGUGGUGAUGAUGUACAUUGGUAGAGGUGAAGUUGAGGCAACUGAAAACAGUGGGGACUGAAAAAAUGUCAAGCGUUUUGUGAGCACACAUGGGAGGCAUAUCUCCAGAUGUAGCCUGGGGCUGCAGAGGCUGGAAAUGCUCAGGUGUAACCGUAAAGAAUUAGCAUGCCGCGAUCGUCCCAAGCUGUGACAUCCCCUUGCAAAUGAAUCCUUCUGGAACGCACCUGGCCGUGCCGAGGAACGCUGACUGAUUAACGGCACCUUGGAAUCGCAAAGUUAGACUCGCAUCACUUUUGAUAAACAGGCAUUAACCCAAAGUUUAGGGUUGGGUGAUGUAAUUGGCAUAAACGAUCUUCGCCUGAGAUGCAAAGUAAUUUCCAGCUGGGCCUGUGCUUCCUAUUUUUUCAUUUCGUCUCCAUCCUAGAUAAACUGAGGAGUCGUUUAGGAGGAAUUGAAAGUGUUCCUGUGGAUAACAAAGACAUUUUGUGCUCGGUGAUGCAUGUAGUGAGCUCUCCAGACUACUGCAGAAAAUCUUUCACCGUAAGUUCUGCCAUCCCCCUCCCCCCCCCCCCCCCCGUGCAUUUUCCAUUUUUGAUCGCUGCAGUGUUAUGCAGUGAGAGUCCCAAGAUAUCUCAUGCCAUCUUUUGAAGAGAAGGUAUGUGUAAACUGGCAAUAAUAAGGACUGUUUGUCACCUAUAGGGACUUCUACCUUUUCCCUAGCAACAAGUAACUAACGCAAACAGAUAUUUGCAAUUCAGGCGGAAAAGUUAGUAUUACUGGGUUGUUUUCUAUCCUUUGAUAAAAGUUACAUUGACUCUGAAAACUGAAAUUUUACAUUUUCAAAUACUUAGACUGUUUACAGUCAACUGUGUCACUCACUGCCUUUAGAUACACCCUGAAGGCAAUAUUCACCCAAAUUAAUAUGGUGGUGAAAGUUCAGGAAUUCAGCUACUGAUUUCUGCUAAUUGGUUAUGCUGGUCCUGUGCUGCUUUUUAAAGGCAGUCAUUUGCCAUAGGGGCUACUGUACUAACGGUGUUUGUUUAUAGUGUUCUGCCUUGCUCAUUUCAGAUUGCUUUUGAUUUUUUUGAGUUCUACUGCAGAGAGCUGUCAGUUAAAUAAACAGCGAAGUGAAAAUAUUGUUACCAGGAUAAUCAUUUCAGUUGUAGUGGUGCAAAUAAGAGUGAUGUAAGUGUGAUAUGGCUCCAUUUUCAGAUUCUUACUGAAUUCAAUUAAAUACCAGAUCAUCAAUUAUAUACAUUCUUGACAUUCAUGUCUGAUUGUAGACUUUUAUGUUGUUAUUGUAAUGGGAAUACAUUAUUUCUGGACACUACACACAAGAAUCACGUCAACAUUUGAACAUCCUACAACUUCAAAUGUUCUGCCACUGAUCAGCAAAUGUUGGCUUGGCACAUUAUCUUUUUGCAAGAACGAAACAUGAU